GUGAAGACGCAAUAAAUCGACCGCUGAGCACUCUCCUGUCAACUCCAGUACUCCAUCAGAGCGAGAAGCGUAGGCGGAGUUGACGGGGAGCAUCAGCAGAUGACCUACCGUAGUGAAGACACCGCGUCCAGGUAAAGGAGAAU
Molecule: long non-coding RNA, 143 nt
Organism: Dermochelys coriacea (leatherback sea turtle)
Lineage: Eukaryota; Metazoa; Chordata; Testudines; Dermochelyidae
Exons: 3
Source: RefSeq, a predicted model, not a curated record